AUGUCCCCAAAAUAUCUGCAGAAUAUCCCCAAAAUAUCCCCAAAAAUUCCCAAAAUAUCCGCAAAAAUUCCCAAAAUAUUCCCCAAAAUAUUCCCAGAAUAUCCACAAAAUGUCCCCAAAAAUUCCCAAAAUAUACACAAAAUAUACACAAAAAUUCCCAAAAUAUCCCCAGAAUAUUCCCAAAAUAUCUGCAGAAUAUCCCCAGAAUAUCCCCAGAAUGUCCUCAGAAUGUCCCCAGAAUAUCCCCAAAAUGUCCCCAGAAGAUCCCCAAAAAUUCCCAAAAUAUCUGCAAAAUAUCUGCAAAAUAUCCCCAAAAUGUCCCCAGAAUGUCCCCAGAAUAUCCCCAAAAUAUCCCCAAAAUAUCCCCAGAAUGCCCCCAAAAUAUCCCAAAAAUAUCGACAAAAAUUACCCAAAUAUUCCCCAAAAUAUCUGCAGAAUAUCCACAAAAAUUCCCAAAAUAUUCCCCCAAAUAGCCCCAGAAUGUCCCCAAAAUGUCCCCAAAAUGUCCCCAAAAUAUUCCCAAAAUAUCUCCAGAAUAUCCCCAAAAUAUCCCCAGAAUAUCCCCUAAAUAUCUGCAGAAUAUCCCCAAAACUUCUCAAAAUAUCCCCAAAUAUCCCCAGAACAUUCCCAAAAUAUCUGCAGAAUAUCCCCCAAAAUUCCCAAAAUAUCCCAAAAAUAUCCACAAAAAUUCCCAAAAUAUCUGCAAAAUUUCCCAAAAUAUCCCCAGAAUAUCCCCAGAAUAUCCCCAAAAAUUCCCAAAAUAUUCCCCAAAAUAUCCCCAAAAUAUCUGCAGAAUAUCACCAAAAAUUCCCAAAAUAUCCCCAAAAUAUCCCCAAAAUAUUCCCCAAAAUAUCCCCAGAAUAUCCACAAUAUAUCCCCAGAAUAUCCCCAAAAAUUCCCAAAAUAUCCCCAAAAUAUCCGCAAAAAUCCCCAAAAUAUCUCCAAAAUAUCUGCAGAAUAUCCCAAAAAAUUCCCAAAGUAUCUGCAGAAUAUCCCCCAAAAUUCCCAAAAUAUCCCCAGAAUAUCCCCAAAAAUUCCCAAAAUAUCCCCAAAAUGUCCCCAAAAUAUCCCCAAAAAUUCCCAAAAUAUCUCCAGAAUAUCCCCAAAAUGUCCCCAAAAUAUCCCCAGAAUAUCCCCAAAAUAUCCACAGAAUAUCCCCAAAAUGUCCCCAGAAUAUCUGCAGAAUAUCCCCAAAAUAUCCCCAAAAAUUCCCAAAAUAUCCCCAGAAUAUCCCCAAAAUGUCCCCAAAAUAUCCCCAGAAUGUCCCCAAAAUAUCCCCAAAAUAUCCACAAAAAUUCCCCAAAUAUUCCCCAGAAUAUCCCCAGAACAUUCCCAAAAUGUCCCCAGAACAUCCCCAAAAUAGCCCCAGAAUGUCCCCAAAAUGUCCCCAAAAUAUCCCAAAAAAUUCUCAAAAUAUCUCCAGAAUAUCCCAAAAAAUUCCCAAAAUAUCCCCAAAAUAUCUGCAGAAUAUCCCCAAAAAUUCCCAAAAUAUCCACAAAAUAUUCCCCAAAAUAUCCCCACAAUAUUCCCAAAACAUUCCCAAAAUAUCCCCAAAAAAUUCCACAAAAAUUCCAAAAACAUCCCCAGAACAUUCCCCAAAAUAUCACAAAAAAAAUUCUACAAAAAUGGGAAUUUUCUGCUUUUUUGGGGGGAAAAAAUGGGAAUUUUCUGUGUCUUUUUGGGGGGAUUUUGGGGUGGUUUUGGGGCAGUUUUGGGGUGGUUUUUUGGGAAUUUUUGGGGUGGAUUUUUGGGUGUUUUUGGCAUUUUUUGGGGUAUUUUAGGAGGAUUUGGGGUUUAUUUUUUGGGGGAUUUUUUAGGGGGGGAUUUUGA
Long non-coding RNA from Taeniopygia guttata (zebra finch), 1830 nucleotides. Lineage: Eukaryota; Metazoa; Chordata; Aves; Passeriformes; Estrildidae. The record is from Ensembl.